Molecule: long non-coding RNA, 612 nt
Organism: Plodia interpunctella (Indianmeal moth)
Lineage: Eukaryota; Metazoa; Arthropoda; Insecta; Lepidoptera; Pyralidae
Exons: 3
Source: RefSeq, a predicted model, not a curated record
UCAAGUCAAAUGUGAAUAAAUGAUAAUUUUAAUAUUGUUAUUAAGUUUUACAAGGCAAUUAGAUAAGGAAAAGACAGUAUUUAUAAUAUGAAUUAAGAUUGGGGCUUUUGAUUCGUUUUCGCGAGCAGACGUUAUGAUUUUCAUCCAAUGGUGGGCGUAUAUAAUUAUCGCCAUACUAAUAUUCUUCAUCUUCCUGAUGCUCAACUACAUUGUGAAGAGAAUUAAUGAGGUCCGCUUAGAAGAAAGAUUGAUUAGACCCCAGCCAAAAACCUCUACAAGUCAGUCCUCAAAAGUUAAAGAACCACGUGUCGAAAUUGAAUCGGAGAAAGUCGAUGCCACUUCACAAAGGAAAACUAGCGACUCCAGUAGCGUGCAGCCCACAUGCACUUCUAAACUUCUUGGCACAAUUUAUACCCUUGGAACUGAUGAAACGAGCACUUCAAAAAGAGAUGAUCGUAAUACAGAUAAAGAUAAAAAUGAAAAUUAAAAUAGCAUAAUAAUAACAACUAUAUAUGCAAGGUACGCAUCUGGAUGUGCAGGUAUCUUUGUUCCUUUUGUAAGCAAGUACCAAUGUAAUAUAUUACUCUAUGAAACUUAUAAACCGUGUGAGUG